AUGUCUACCAGCAGCAGCAACAGCAAUCCAUUCAGCUUCGCGUUGAGGGGGCUCCGAGACCGUGAGGGUGGCGAUUGUGGCAGCUACUACAGCAUCCCCGACCUAGGCGAUCAGCGAAUAGAUAAACUGCCAUACACCAUUCGUGUUCUUCUUGAAUCUGCGGUGCGUAAUUGUGACGAGUUCCAAAUAACCAAGGAGGAUGUAGAGAAGAUCAUGGGCUGGGAGAAGACCUCCCUGGAGCAAGUUGAAAUACCAUUCAAACCCUCACGUGUGAUACUUCAGGAUUUUACCGGUGUGCCUGUCCUUGUUGACUUUGCAAGCAUGCGCGACGCAAUGUUGGAAUUAGGUGGCAAUCCUGAUAAGAUUAACCCGAUGGUUCCAGCAGACCUUGUAAUUGAUCACUCAGUAACUGCUAAUGUGGUGAGGUCACAAAAUGCGAUACAGGCCAAUAUGGAACUGGAAUUCGAGAGAAACAAGGAACGGUUCGCCUUCCUUAAAUGGGGGUCUUCUGCAUUUCACAAUAUGCUUAUCAUACCUCCUGGUUCUGGUAUUGUUCAUCAGGUAAAUCUUGAGUAUCUUGCCAGAGUUGUUUUCAACAGAGAUGGCCUUCUUUAUCCCGAUAGUGUUCUGGGGACUGAUUCCCACACUACAAUGAUUAAUGGACUGGGUGUUGUUGGUUGGGGGGUUGGAGGGAUUGAUGCUGAGGCAGCUAUGCUUGGUCAGCCCAUGAGCAUGGUAUUACCUGGUGUCGUUGGAUUCAAGCUACAUGGAACACUAAGGGAUGGGGUCACAGCAACUGAUCUAGUUCUCACGGUUACCCAAAUGCUUCGGAAACAUGGUGUUGUUGGAAAGUUUGUGGAGUUCUAUGGCCGAGGUAUGGAAGAGCUUGCAUUGGCUGAUAGAACAACAAUUGCAAAUAUGGCACCAGAGUAUGGAGCAACUGUUGGUUUCUUUCCAGUUGACCAUAUCACCUUAGAAUAUCUUAAAAUGACUGGAAGAGAAGAUGAAACUGUAUCAACAAUAGAGGCAUAUCUACGUGCAAACAAAAUGUUUGUGGAUUACAAUGAACCUAAAAUAGAACCGACAUAUUCAUCAUACAUAGAAUUGGAUCUGGGAGAUGUUGAGCCAUGUAUUUCUGGUCCGAAGAGACCUCAUGAUCGAGUCACCUUAAAAGACAUGAAGACAGACUGGCAUGCAUGUCUGGAAAAUAAAAUUGGUUUCAAGGGUUAUGGUAUCCCAAAAGAUUUGCAAAAUAGAGUGGUGAAGUUUGAUUUUCAUGGGCGAACUGCAGAGCUUAAACAUGGGACUGUUGUCAUAGCUGCUAUCACAAGCUGCACAAACACCUCAAACCCCACCGUUAUGAUUGCUUCUGGGUUGGUUGCAAAGAAAGCUUACGAGUUGGGCCUCGAGGUCAAACCAUGGAUUAAAACAAGUCUUGCCCCUGGGUCAGGAGUUGUUACCAAAUAUCUGCUUAGGAGUGGUUUGCUGAAGUACUUGAGCGACCUGGGUUUCAAUCUAGUUGGGUAUGGCUGUACUACCUGUAUCGGAAAUUCAGGUGAUCUUGAUCAAAUCGUUGCAGAUGAAAUUACAGAAAAUGACAUCAUCGCGGUUGCUGUUCUUUCUGGAAACCGUAACUUUGAAGGGCGGAUACAUCCAUUAACUCAAGCUAAUUAUCUUGCUUCUCCUCCUCUAGUCGUUGUAUAUGCUCUUGCUGGCACUGUUGAUAUCAAUUUUGAAGAGGAGCCAAUUGGAACUGGAAAGGGCAACAGACCAAUUUUCCUAAGGGACAUCUGGCCAUCUAGCGAGGAAGUAUCAGAAAUUGUGCAUUCCAAUGUCUUGGUUGAUAUGUUCAAAAGUACUUAUGAGGUAAUCACGAAAGGCAAUCCCAUGUGGAAUCAACUGGUGGUUCCAACUACAGAUGUUUACUCUUGGGACCCUAAUUCAACCUACAUUCGUGAGCCUCCUUUCUUUAAAGGCAUGAGUAUGGAUCUACCUGGGCCUCAUAGUAUAAAGGAUGCCUACUGCUUGUUGAGCUUUGGUGACUGUGUAACGGCAGAUCAUAUUUCACCAGCUGGGAGCAUUCACAAGGAUAGCCCAGCUGCCAAGUAUCUCGUUGGCCAUUCUGUGAAGCACAGGGAUUUUAAUUCGUAUGGCAGCCGUCGCGGAAACUAUGAAGUAAUGAUGAGGGGAACCUUCGGCAAUAUUCGGAUUGUCAACAAGCUUUUGGACGGUGAACCUGGACCAAAAACAAUUCACAUUCCAACAAGAGAGAAGCUUUAUGUCUAUGAUGCUGCCAUGAGGUAUAAGAAUGAUGGGCAAGACACAAUUGUAUUGGUGGGUUCCAAAUAUGGGACUGGAAGUUCGAGGGACUGGGAUGCAAAAGGUACUAUGUUGCUGGGAGUUAAGGCUGUAAUUGCCAAAAGUUUCGAAAGAAUCCAUCGAAGCAAUUUAGUCGGGAUGGGUGUAAUUCCUCUAUGCUUCAAGUCUGGAGAAGAUAUGGACUCAAUUGGUUUGACUGGACAAGAACAAUACACUAUUCAUCUUCCAAGCAGUGUUCAUGAAAUGCAGCCCGGCCAGGAUAUUGUUGUUACCACAAGCACACGAAAAUCGUUUACAUGUACGCUUCGCUUUGACACAGAGGUGGAACUGUCUUACUUUGAUCAUGGGGGAAUACUACAAUAUGUUAUGCGAAAACUUAUCAAUUCAGCAUGUUAG
RNAcentral lists this ribosomal RNA (2715 nucleotides) under Triticum aestivum (bread wheat). RNAcentral's name for it is "partial small subunit ribosomal RNA". Lineage: Eukaryota; Viridiplantae; Streptophyta; Magnoliopsida; Poales; Poaceae. The record is from RNAcentral.